GAUUUCUGGCACGAUGCGCCUGGCCCGCCACGGUUUCGUGUGUGAGUGCCGGGUGUUCAUCUGCCAUCCUUCCAGAGAACGUUCCUACCCUUCACUGGGCCGGGGACGAGAUCUGGAUCGUUUACUUUGAAAAAAUUAGAGUGUUUAAAGCAGGCUUUUGCUAUGAAUACAUUAGCAUGGAAUAAUAAUCUAGGACUUCGGUUCUAUUUUGUUGGUUUCUAUAACUGAAGUAAUGAUUGAUAGGGAUAGUUGGGGGUGCUAGUAUUGGCCGGCCAGAGGUGAAAUUCUUGGAUUCGGUCAAGACUAACUUAUGCGAAAGCAUU
Molecule: ribosomal RNA, 323 nt
Filed under: Protaspa sp.
Lineage: Eukaryota; Cercozoa; Thecofilosea; Cryomonadida; Protaspidae
Description: SSU rRNA
Rfam family: Eukaryotic small subunit ribosomal RNA (bases 107-323)
Source: RNAcentral